UAUAGAGAAGACUAAGGGUUAGUUGCCAGGCUCAUGAUUUGGAGAUGUAGGUUCGAGUCCUGCCUCUAUUU
Molecule: transfer RNA, 71 nt
Filed under: Cinachyrella kuekenthali
Lineage: Eukaryota; Metazoa; Porifera; Demospongiae; Tetractinellida; Tetillidae
Description: tRNA-Met
Rfam family: tRNA
About the family: Transfer RNA (tRNA) molecules are approximately 80 nucleotides in length. Their secondary structure includes four short double-helical elements and three loops (D, anti-codon, and T loops). Further hydrogen bonds mediate the characteristic L-shaped molecular structure. tRNAs have two regions of fundamental functional importance: the anti-codon, which is responsible for specific mRNA codon recognition, and the 3' end, to which the tRNAs corresponding amino acid is attached (by aminoacyl-tRNA synthetases). tRNAs cope with the degeneracy of the genetic code in two manners: having more than one tRNA (with a specific anti-codon) for a particular amino acid; and 'wobble' base-pairing, i.e. permitting non-standard base-pairing at the 3rd anti-codon position.
Source: RNAcentral